This 460-nucleotide ribosomal RNA is filed under the name uncultured bacterium. RNAcentral's name for it is "partial 16S ribosomal RNA". It matches the Rfam family "Bacterial small subunit ribosomal RNA", at positions 338 to 795 of the family's 1533-position model. The record is from RNAcentral.
CCUACGGGCGGCAGCAGUGAGGAAUAUUGGUCAAUGGACGAGAGUCUGAACCAGCCAAGUAGCGUGAAGGAUGACUGCCCUAUGGGUUGUAAACUUCUUUUAUAUGGGAAUAAAAUGUUCCACGUGUGGGCUUUUGUAUGUACCAUAUGAAUAAGGAUCGGCUAACUCAGUGCCAGCAGCCGCGGUAAUACGGAGGAUCCGCGCGUUAUCCGCCUUUAUUGGGUUUAAAGGGAGCGUAGGUGGCUUGUUAAGUCAGUUGUGAAAGUCUGCGGCUCAACCGUAAAAUUGCAGUUGAAACUGGCAGUCUUGAGUACAGUAGGGGUGGUCGGAAGUCGUGGUGUAGCGGUGAAAUGCUUAGAUAUCACGAAGAACUCCGAUUGCGAAGGCAGCUGACUGGGCUGCAACUGACACUGAGGCUCGAAAGUGUGGGUAUCAAACAGGAUUAGAUACACGAGUAGUC